This 882-nucleotide long non-coding RNA is filed under the name Mus musculus (house mouse). RNAcentral describes it as "small nucleolar RNA host gene 16 (Snhg16)". The record is from RNAcentral. Lineage: Eukaryota; Metazoa; Chordata; Mammalia; Rodentia; Muridae.
GAUCUCGUCCUUUCCGAGGUCCUCUGCCGCGUGUUUGGAAGUUAUGGCCGCGCGGGUCUGUGGUGUUCUCCCUGAAAGGCCUAAGCUUUGGGUGAUGGCAUUGCCUUUUGGCACUCGGGAGACAAGAUGCAGGUUCCGUCUCAGAAGUAAUGGCUGGAUCCCUGAAAGCCAACGGGCUCGGUGUGGUCCACCCGUCAGAAGGCAUAGGUAGAUGGUGGGCAUCUGCCUCAGACAUAGUUCUCAAGUUCAGCCAGAAGAAUGCGCGUUGAGCCCUCUGCAGCCCGUGUCGACGGAGGUGUUGUCUCCAGGAAGCAUCAUGGAAAGGCGUGGUGGUGCACAAGGGCCUUCAGGAUGCCUGCGCCUGGUGACGGCUGCGCCUCAGGUUCUGGGCCUGACUCGGAAGGGUGCCUGUGAGCAGAAGAGCUGGCACGCGCAGCUCAGUGGACCAUCAGUGCCAACCCGUCCUGUACCCUGGCUGAGGGGUGUGCUAAGUGGCAGAUUCCCGGUUGGCUCAUCGUAAGGCGUGGCACAAAAUCACCAUCGAAAGAAAGGGCCUUCGGGAUGCCUCUAUCUGGUUAUUGCCCUGUAGUGCCAGAGAGAACCACAUAGCCUGCUGCUGCUCCUGCCUUUAAUUUCCCAAAGAGUCAUCAGACGACCUUGGAGUUUGUUCUGCAAGAGGAGCCAGUAAGGCCUCGUGACUGUGGUCACCCUCGGAAGCCUUUGACAGCUAGCUGGUGAGGGCGCUCAGUCGGAGGCCCUGGGGAGGCCCCUGCUAAGCCGAGAAAAGCAUUUCUCACAGUGGAUUUCCUGGAAGUCAGGGUUGGCCUUUGUAUUUUGAAGCACAAAUAAACUUUAUAAAAUUUAAAAAAAAAAAAAAAAAAA